AUUGAACGCUGGCGGCAUGCCUUACACAUGCAAGUCGAACGGUAACAGGUUAAGCUGACGAGUGGCGAAAGGGUGAGUAAUAUAUCGGAACGUGCCCAGUCAUGGGGGAUAACGUAGCGAAAGCUACGCUAAUACCGCAUACGAUCCAUGGAUGAAAGCGGGGGAUCGCAAGACCUCGCGCGAUUGGAGCGGCCGAUAUCAGAUUAGCUAGUUGGUGAGGUAAAGGCUCACCAACGCGACGAUCUGUAGCUGGUCUGAGAGGACGACCAGCCAAACUGGAACUGGGACACGGUCCAGACUCCUACGGGAGGCAGCAGUGGGGGAUGUUGGACAAUGGGAGCAAGCCUGAUCCAGCAAUGCCGCGUGCAGGAUGAAGGACUUCGGGUUGUAAACUGCUUUUGUACGGAACGAAACGGUGAGCUCUAAUACAGUUUGCUAAUGACGGUACCGUAAGAAUAAGCACCGGCUAACUACGUGCCAGCAGCCGCGGUAA
This 493-nucleotide ribosomal RNA is filed under the name uncultured bacterium. RNAcentral's name for it is "partial 16S ribosomal RNA". It matches the Rfam family "Bacterial small subunit ribosomal RNA", at positions 30 to 523 of the family's 1533-position model. The record is from RNAcentral.